Molecule: ribosomal RNA, 143 nt
Filed under: Senecio glaucophyllus
Lineage: Eukaryota; Viridiplantae; Streptophyta; Magnoliopsida; Asterales; Asteraceae
Description: 5.8S ribosomal RNA
Rfam family: 5.8S ribosomal RNA
About the family: 5.8S ribosomal RNA (5.8S rRNA) is a component of the large subunit of the eukaryotic ribosome.
Source: RNAcentral
CAUAAACGACUCUCGGCAACGGAUAUCUCGGCUCACGCAUCGAUGAAGAACGUAGCAAAAUGCGAUACUUGGUGUGAAUUGCAGAAUCCCGUGAACCAUCGAGUUUUUGAACGCAAGUUGCGCUCGAAGCCUUUUGGCUGAGG